RNAcentral lists this transfer RNA (77 nucleotides) under Acinetobacter baumannii. RNAcentral describes it as "tRNA-Asp". It matches the Rfam family "tRNA". Rfam says of the family: Transfer RNA (tRNA) molecules are approximately 80 nucleotides in length. Their secondary structure includes four short double-helical elements and three loops (D, anti-codon, and T loops). Further hydrogen bonds mediate the characteristic L-shaped molecular structure. tRNAs have two regions of fundamental functional importance: the anti-codon, which is responsible for specific mRNA codon recognition, and the 3' end, to which the tRNAs corresponding amino acid is attached (by aminoacyl-tRNA synthetases). tRNAs cope with the degeneracy of the genetic code in two manners: having more than one tRNA (with a specific anti-codon) for a particular amino acid; and 'wobble' base-pairing, i.e. permitting non-standard base-pairing at the 3rd anti-codon position. Lineage: Bacteria; Pseudomonadati; Pseudomonadota; Gammaproteobacteria; Moraxellales; Moraxellaceae. RNAcentral also lists the same sequence under 3 other names. The record is from RNAcentral.
GCAGCGGUAGUUCAGUUGGUUAGAAUACCGGCCUGUCACGCCGGGGGGCGCGGGUUCGAGCCCCGUCCGCUGCGCCA